RNAcentral lists this unclassified non-coding RNA (386 nucleotides) under Elsholtzia stauntonii (mint shrub). RNAcentral's name for it is "partial external transcribed spacer". Lineage: Eukaryota; Viridiplantae; Streptophyta; Magnoliopsida; Lamiales; Lamiaceae. The record is from RNAcentral.
AUCAUAUCCUUCUCGCCUCUUCAUUUGAUGGUUCGAGCACUUGCUCGGCCGAAAUCGGUUAUCCUGUGCUGCAUACCUAUCUCGAAGGCAUUUCGUUGGCUAAAAGUGUGGUUUUCCACCGUGUGCCGCUGCUCCUUGCGGGGAAGCGGCGCGCGUUGGACCUCAAGGCAGUCGCUGUGUUUCGCACCGUCUUCACCUCGACGGGUGUUUCGGUUGCCGAGCCACGGCGCAAUGCUUGAUAUCUCGGGUGCGGAACAUCUUUGUGGGUGCGAGGUCCUUGGCCUCUGAUCACCACAACAAAAAGCGUUCUACGCUUCGUGCGAACGACGGUCGGCCCGGUCUUUUGCCGUGCUCUUGAAGCACGGUUGGAGUCGUGUCGGCGUCGG